AUUGAACGCUGGCGGCAGGCCUAACACAUGCAAGUCGGGCGAGUGGCGGACGGGUGAGUAAUGCAUGGGGAUCUGGCUGAUGGAGGGGGAUAACUACUGGAAAAGAUAGCUAAUACCGCAUACCAUCGGAUGACCCCGUAUGGGAUUAGCUUGUAGGUAAGGUAACGGCUUACCUAGGCGACGAUCCCUCACUGGUCUGAGAGGAUGAUCAGCCACACUGGGACUGAGACACGGCCCAGACUCCUACGGUAGGCAGCAGUGGGGAAUAUUGCACAAUGGGCGCAAGCCUGAUGCAGCCAUGCCGCGUGAAUGAAGAAGGCCUUCGGGUUGUAAAGUACUUUCAGUCGGGAGGCGUUACCGACAGAAGAAGCACCGGCUAACUCCGUGCCAGCAGCCGCGGUAAUUC
This 406-nucleotide ribosomal RNA is filed under the name uncultured bacterium. RNAcentral's name for it is "partial 16S ribosomal RNA". It matches the Rfam family "Bacterial small subunit ribosomal RNA", at positions 30 to 526 of the family's 1533-position model. The record is from RNAcentral.